RNAcentral lists this non-coding RNA (23 nucleotides) under Rattus norvegicus (Norway rat). The record is from RNAcentral. Lineage: Eukaryota; Metazoa; Chordata; Mammalia; Rodentia; Muridae.
UCCCCGUCGGGUGGCAGUGGGCA